UGUCCAGGGGCGGUAAUUGAACCCACAACCUUCCGCUAACCGGGCAGAUGCCAUGUCCACUAGGCUACCCUGGGC
RNAcentral lists this transfer RNA (75 nucleotides) under Cordylochernes scorpioides. RNAcentral's name for it is "tRNA-Thr". The record is from RNAcentral. Lineage: Eukaryota; Metazoa; Arthropoda; Arachnida; Pseudoscorpiones; Chernetidae.